AAAUUAUCCUCAUAAGUUAGACGAUAAGAGGUACCAAUUAUGAUUUUAAUUAUUAAAUACUUAUUCUCUUCUAUGAAGAUUUAAGGUUAAUAAUAAUUGAUAGAUAGAUGGUGGCACAGAAUCGGAGGCCCCGACUGUUUACUAAAAACACAUCACAGUGCAAUCAUUAAUGUGGUAGUAUACUGUGUGAAAUUUGCCCAAUGCCAUUAAUAUAAAAGCGGUCAUAGGAAACUGUGACUAAUUGAAAAUCUGGUUAAUAGCGGUCUUAACCAUGAGGAUCCUAAGGUAGCAAAAUAAAUUGGCCAUUAAAUGUGGUCCGGUAUCAAUAAUGUAACGAUGGCCUCACUGUCUCUACAACUUGCUCAGUGAAAUUGAAUUACGCGUGCAGAUGCGCGUUACCUCCAGUGGGACGGGAAGACCCUAUGCACUUUCU
Molecule: ribosomal RNA, 433 nt
Filed under: Amanita longipes
Lineage: Eukaryota; Fungi; Basidiomycota; Agaricomycetes; Agaricales; Amanitaceae
Description: LSU rRNA
Rfam family: Bacterial large subunit ribosomal RNA
Source: RNAcentral